Paramuricea clavata is the source of this 571-nucleotide non-coding RNA. The record is from the annotation of a GenBank genome assembly. Lineage: Eukaryota; Metazoa; Cnidaria; Anthozoa; Malacalcyonacea; Plexauridae.
GUUCCCAAUAGCAUGUUGUUGAUGAGCCAAACACAAAUAUCAGAUAUUCCAUCGUUCUGGAGCAGUAGCCAAUUUCAUGCCACCGUAGCAAACUAUAGCAUUUGCACCAUUCCGAUUGGUUUGCUACGUUUGACCGUAGCAAACCAAUCAGAAUGCCGUAUAUGUCAAUUUUCGCUACGGUCAGAUUCGACCUUAAUGAAUCUGACCGUAGCGAAAAUUGAUCAUAUAUGGGCAACACGCCGCGGUGUAUUUCUGAAGGAUGAUAUUUUCUAAGCUAUAGUCCAUUGCGUAAUGACCCGCAAACGGGCAAUUACAACCGUAUUUUCGGGCGGGAAUUCUUAAAACAAUUAACGUUAUACGUAUUAUAAAUGUCAUCAAUUUGUCAAAAUAAAAUGUUUUAGAACAUAUAAAACUAAAUAAAAUAAAACCUCGAAAUAUAAACAAGGAAAGUAAACAAAAUAUUGCUAAAUUAUAUUUUAGAUUGAUUUUAUGAUCCAUGUUAGAACUGGCCUAUGGAAAAUCUGACCGUAGCAUAUGCUACAGUUGCAACGGUCUAAAUCCGCCCCUGACA